GGGGUUGUGGCUCAGUGGUAGAGCACACACCUAGCAUGUGUGAGGCACUGGGUUCGAUCCUCGGCACCA
This 69-nucleotide transfer RNA is filed under the name Ictidomys tridecemlineatus (thirteen-lined ground squirrel). Its description in RNAcentral is "Spermophilus tridecemlineatus (thirteen-lined ground squirrel) tRNA". It matches the Rfam family "tRNA". Rfam says of the family: Transfer RNA (tRNA) molecules are approximately 80 nucleotides in length. Their secondary structure includes four short double-helical elements and three loops (D, anti-codon, and T loops). The record is from Rfam by way of RNAcentral. Lineage: Eukaryota; Metazoa; Chordata; Mammalia; Rodentia; Sciuridae.